RNAcentral lists this ribosomal RNA (498 nucleotides) under uncultured bacterium. RNAcentral describes it as "partial 16S ribosomal RNA". It matches the Rfam family "Bacterial small subunit ribosomal RNA", at positions 28 to 507 of the family's 1533-position model. The record is from RNAcentral.
GACGAACGCUGGCGGCGUGCCUAAUACAUGCAAGUCGAACGAGAGCGCCCGGUGCUUGCACUGGUCAAUCUAGUGGCGAACGGGUGAGUAACACGUGGGUAACCUGCCCAUCAGAGGGGGAUAACAUUCGGAAACGGAUGCUAAAACCGCAUAGGUCUUCGAACCGCAUGGUUUGAAGAGGAAAAGAGGCGCAAGCUUCUGCUGAUGGAUGGACCCGCGGUGCAUUAGCUAGUUGGUGAGGUAACGGCUCACCAAGGCCGUGAUGCAUAGCCGACCUGAGAGGGUGAUCGGCCACAUUGGGACUGAGACACGGCCCAAACUCCUACGGGAGGCAGCAGUAGGGAAUCUUCCGCAAUGGACGCAAGCCUGACGGAGCAACGCCGCGUGAGUGAAGAAGGUUUUCGGAUCGUAAAACUCUGUUGUUAGAGAAGAAUAAGUGCUAGAGUAACUGUUAGCGCCUUGACGGUAUCUAACCAGAAAGCCACGGCUAACUACGUG